Molecule: ribosomal RNA, 492 nt
Filed under: uncultured bacterium
Lineage: Bacteria
Description: partial 16S ribosomal RNA
Rfam family: Bacterial small subunit ribosomal RNA
Source: RNAcentral
GAUGAACGCUAGCUACAGGCUUAACACAUGCAAGUCGAGGGGAAACGACAUCGAAAGCUUGCUUUUGAUGGGCGUCGACCGGCGCACGGGUGAGUAACGCGUAUCCAACCUGCCCAUCACUUGGGAAUAACCUUGCGAAAGUAAGACUAAUACCCAAUGACAUCCCACGAAGACAUCUGAAUGGGAUUAAAGAUUUAUCGGUGAUGGAUGGGGAUGCGUCUGAUUAGCUUGUUGGCGGGGUAACAGCCCACCAAGGCAACGAUCAGUAGGGGUUCUGAGAGGAAGGUCCCCCACAUUGGAACUGAGACACGGUCCAAACUCCUACGGGAGGCAGCAGUGAGGAAUAUUGGUCAAUGGGCGAGAGCCUGAACCAGCCAAGUAGCGUGCAGGAUGACGGCCCUAUGGGUUGUAAACUGCUUUUAUAAGGGAAUAAAGUGGGUCUCGUGAGACUUUUUGCAUGUACCUUAUGAAUAAGGACCGGCUAAUUCCGUG